AGGUGGCUAUGGCGGCGGGGUUCCACCUCUUCCCAUUCCGAACAGAGCAGUUAAGCCCGCCAUCGCCGAUGGUACUGCAAUGCAAUGCGGGAGAGUAGGCAGCCGCCG
This 108-nucleotide ribosomal RNA is filed under the name uncultured Prevotella sp. Lineage: Bacteria; Pseudomonadati; Bacteroidota; Bacteroidia; Bacteroidales; Prevotellaceae. The record is from RNAcentral.